UAUAUAUAUAUAUAUAUAUAUAUAUAUAUAUGACAAAAAAGGAAAACUAAUUGGUUAUGAACUACCAAUGGAUAGCAUUGACAAACCAAAAUAUAUGUGUUCCUUGUAACUCUAGCUUAUUCAUGAUCAAGCCCAAAAUAAUUGAACUAUAAUAAAUAAAACUCAGCAAUGGGCUACUGCUACACCAUAAAAAAUGGCCAAGCACCAUACAAAUC
RNAcentral lists this long non-coding RNA (215 nucleotides) under Solanum tuberosum (potato). Its description in RNAcentral is "long non-coding RNA (STUB_LNC011045)". The record is from RNAcentral. Lineage: Eukaryota; Viridiplantae; Streptophyta; Magnoliopsida; Solanales; Solanaceae.